GCCUACGGGAGGCAGCAGUGAGGAAUAUUGGUCAAUGGGCGGGAGCCUGAACCAGGCAAGUCGCGUGAGGGAAGACGGUCCUACGGAUUGUAAACCUCUUUUGCCGGGGAGCAACGGGGUCCUUGCGAGGGCCCGAUGAGAGUACCCGGAGAAAAAGCAUCGGCUAACUCCGUGCCAGCAGCCGCGGUAAUACGGAGGAUGCGAGCGUUAUCCGGAUUUAUUGGGUUUAAAGGGUGCGCAGGCGGUCUGUUAAGUCAGCGGUCAAAGCCCGGGGCUCAACCCCAGCCCGCCGUUGAAACUGGCAG
Molecule: ribosomal RNA, 305 nt
Filed under: uncultured bacterium
Lineage: Bacteria
Description: bacterial SSU rRNA
Rfam family: Bacterial small subunit ribosomal RNA
Source: RNAcentral